Molecule: non-coding RNA, 77 nt
Organism: Magallana angulata
Lineage: Eukaryota; Metazoa; Mollusca; Bivalvia; Ostreida; Ostreidae
Source: the annotation of a RefSeq genome assembly
GUCUCAAUAGCUCAGUGGUUAGAGCGCUGGCACUGUAUGCCAGAGGCCCUGGGUUCGAGUCCCGGUUAAUUGAGACU